UUGGGUGUGGCUCAGUGAUGGAGCACUUGCUUAGCAUGUGCAAGGCCCUGGAUUCAAUCCUCAGCACCAAAA
This 72-nucleotide transfer RNA is filed under the name Marmota monax (woodchuck). RNAcentral's name for it is "tRNA.Ala". Lineage: Eukaryota; Metazoa; Chordata; Mammalia; Rodentia; Sciuridae. The record is from RNAcentral.